Molecule: ribosomal RNA, 444 nt
Filed under: Thalamoporella californica
Lineage: Eukaryota; Metazoa; Bryozoa; Gymnolaemata; Cheilostomatida; Thalamoporellidae
Description: partial 16S ribosomal RNA
Rfam family: Archaeal large subunit ribosomal RNA
Source: RNAcentral
AGCGAUACGAUUUUAUGUAUGGUAAUACCUGCCCUGUGAUUUUAACGGAACGUAGCAUAAUAAUUUGUCUCUUUAUUGGGGACUGGAAUGAAUGGUAGAACGGGGUUAAACUGUCUUUUAUAAUGAAUGAUAAUUUUUUUUCUAGGUGAAAAAACCUUGAGGCUGGAUUAGGACGAGAAGACCCUGUAGAGUUUUAUAGGACGUGCUAUGCAUAACUAUUUUGUUGGGGCAACAAGAGAGCAAUAAAACUCUCUAUAUUCAAGAUUAGGGUACUAAUUUAGUUUGAUCUCAAAGAACUUAUAAAUAAACUACCUCAGGGAUAACAGCGUAAUUCUUCCAGAGAGAUCUAAUCGAAGGAAGAGCUUGCGACCUCGAUGUUGGACUAAGGUUAAGAAAGGUGCAGAAUUCUUUCCUACAAGCCUGUUCGGCUUAUACCCUUACAUG